CUUCAGGGUCGGGUGAAAUUCCCAAUCGGCGGUAUACUCCGCGAGCCAUAAGGCAGGAACUGGUGAGAUUCCAGUAGCGACAGUUAAAGUCUGGAUGGAAGAAGGUU
Molecule: non-coding RNA, 107 nt
Filed under: uncultured Faecalitalea sp.
Lineage: Bacteria; Bacillati; Bacillota; Erysipelotrichia; Erysipelotrichales; Erysipelotrichaceae
Description: FMN riboswitch (RFN element)
Rfam family: FMN riboswitch aptamer (RFN element)
About the family: The RFN element is a highly conserved domain that is found frequently in the 5'-untranslated regions of prokaryotic mRNAs that encode for flavin mononucleotide (FMN) biosynthesis and transport proteins. This element is a metabolite-dependent riboswitch that directly binds FMN in the absence of proteins.
Source: RNAcentral